Molecule: long non-coding RNA, 222 nt
Filed under: Nicotiana benthamiana
Lineage: Eukaryota; Viridiplantae; Streptophyta; Magnoliopsida; Solanales; Solanaceae
Description: long non-coding RNA (NBEN_LNC017176)
Source: RNAcentral
UCCACAUUAUGAUGCCAGAGAUGUGACUAUUGGCAGUGAUGGUGUGUUGCGGAUGCAGGGCCUCAUUUGCGUGCCCAAUGUGGAUGGGCUCUGAGAGUUGAUAUUAGAGAAGGCCCACAACUCGCAGUAUUCUAUUCAUCCGGGUGCUGUGAAGAUGUACUAGGACUUGAGGCAGCAUUAUUGGUGGAGGAGAAUGAAAAAGGACAUUGUGAGUUAUAUGGC